GGGUAUUGCCACCGGUUCAAACUGAACUGGUGGGGAAAUUAUUAUUGCCACCGGUUCAAAACUGGUGGCUUUGUCUUUAAAAAAAAACCGCCCCUUCAUAAACCCUAACCCUAUCACUCUCCUCUCUAUAGCCUCCCCUCCUCUCCCUUCUCUCUCCUGCUCUCCCCCUCUCUUCUCUCUCCUGCGAUCUCCCCUCACCACUUCUCUCUCAUUCUCAACAACCAUCAUCGUCGCCGCCAUCUAUCUCUCAUCUUCUUCUCUCUCGUUAUCUCUCUUGCCGUAGUUAGAGCUCAGUUGCAAAAUCGAAAAUCUCCCCUAAAACCAUAAAACACAGGCGAAAGCUCAACAAUGGCGGACGGGUCGAAGAAUCUGGCGCCGAACGCUUUUCCCCCGAAAUUGAAUACGAAGAGAAAACGGUGAAUUUGAUUCAGCGAAUUGACUUCGCUUGGGCGUUGGAGAGAAAUGCGAAGAACCAGAAGACGAAGGAAUCAUCUGCACUAACUUAAAGUUUGAAUAGCUGCAAAAACGACUAGACAACCCUUUGCAACCCCCACUACCUUGAUGGCAUUACACAGUCAUUGUAUUUUGAUUUUUGCCGUUGAGACUAUGAAGAUCGUUGAAUUGGUAUGUGCUUCAAUUAGUAGAACUUUUCUAAUUCUCUGUGAUUUAUUGGUAUUAAAUACGGGCAAAUUUAUUAGUAUAUGUUCUAAUCAUUAGAGUAUAAUAAGCUGAUGAAACCGAGCAAGUAGGAUCUAUCUUGAGUGUGCUCUUAUAUAUUAAACAGAGCAAGUAGGAUCUAUCAUGUUUAUUUUGCCUUACUUCGAGUAUUUGAUUGGUUAUACAUGGUUGAAUUUGCUUUUUGUUGGAAAUAUUCUGUGGUGCUAAUUGUAAGGGGUCAAAAUCAAAUUAGUUUUCUGAUAAUUUUGACAUUUGAUGAUGAUAUUUUUGUAUUCUGAUGUUGUGAUUGAUUCUUUGUUAUUAUGCAUUAUUAUUGAUGUUGUUGCGAUAUGCCUAUGUGGUGUGAUUGUGAGAUUUGAUUAUUUCUAAAUACAAUGCUGAUGUGAUGUGCCUAUGUGGUGCCGAUGUGUCUUAGGUUUCUUAAUUUUGAGUUUUGGUGAAAGAAGGGAUCCUUAAGUAUGAUAUGCAUUUCUCUUGGUGCACUUGUGUUAAUUGCUAAUUUAAGCUACUUGCUUUUACUGCCCUUGCUGCCUGGUUUUGAUAUUAUGAUAUAUAUAUAUGUUUAUGUGCUACAAAUACUUGGCACUUUAAAAGAGAUAGAGCACUCCCUCAUGAGCAUGUUUGAAUUUGAGGUGCCAGCUUUUUAUUCCCUUUCGUUUUUUUUUUUUGGUUUUUGUGUUGACUAGACAGUCAUGUAAGUUCAUAAUAAUGGAGUUUUCCAAUCUAGGACAAGAAAAGGAGGGUGGGGUGAACCAUAUGAAUGUAGAGAG
This is a long non-coding RNA of Chenopodium quinoa (quinoa), 1448 nucleotides long. RefSeq lists it as uncharacterized. The record is from RefSeq and is a predicted model, not a curated record. The transcript is spliced from 3 exons. NCBI's taxonomy places the organism in Eukaryota, Viridiplantae, Streptophyta, Magnoliopsida, Caryophyllales, Amaranthaceae.